Molecule: long non-coding RNA, 1929 nt
Organism: Pongo pygmaeus (Bornean orangutan)
Lineage: Eukaryota; Metazoa; Chordata; Mammalia; Primates; Hominidae
Exons: 3
Source: RefSeq, a predicted model, not a curated record
GGAGGCAUAGGAAAACUUUGAAGAAUCUUCCAGAUUUGCCUAACAGAGAUGACCUGACAAGAUAGAUGUGCCAUUUGGACCCUUUCAAGAGCAGACAGAAGGGAAAGGAGCUUGUCCCACUGGAAGGUCUUCAGAGGCAAUGUGUAUGCAGACUGUCAUCUCCUGUGAUAAUAAUGCUUUCUUCAAGAAUACCUCCUGAAAGGCCUGCCCGAAGCUGUUUUACAGGCUGGAGUGCAAUGGUGCGAUCUCGGCUCCUGCAACCUGCGCCUCCUGAGUUCAAGUGAUUCUCCUGCCUCAGCCUCCCAAGUUGCUGGGAUUACAGGGGCCCACCACCACGCCCAGCUAAUUUUUGUUAUUUUCAGUAGAGACGGGGUUUCAUCAUGUUGGCCAGGCUGGUCUUGAACUCCUGACCUCAGGUGAUCCGCCCACCUCAGCUCCCAAAGUGCUGGGAUUACAGGUGUGAGCCACCGUACCUGGCUGAGGACUGAGAUUUUCUAUUUCUUAUUGUGUCAGUUAGGUUGUAUUUUUCUGUGAAUCUGUUCAUUUCACCAAAUUUUCAAGUCUGUUGGCCUAAAGUUUUUGAUAAUAUAAUCUUAUUUUGUGGUGAAGUCCCUUUUUUAUUUCUUGUAUUUGUUAUUUGUGCCUUAUUUUCUUUUUUUUUUUUCCUUUGGUUUUUUUUUAUGAGAUAGAGUUUCCCUCUUGUUGCCCAAGCUGGAGUGCAAUGGCGCGAUCUCAGCUCACUGCAACCUCUGCCUCCCGGGUUCAAGUGAUUCUCCUGCCUCAGCCUCCUGAGUAGCUGGGAUUAUAGGCACACGCCACCACGCACAGCUAAUUUUUUGUAUUUUUAGUAGAAAUGGGGUUUCACCAUGUUAGCCAGGCUGGUGCCAAACUCCUGAUCUCAGGUGAUCCGCCCGCAUCAGCCUCCCAAAGUGCUGGGAUUACAGGCGUGAGCCACCACGCCCAGCCUUUUCCUUUUCUGUUUUCUUUUUCUUUUCACAGAUGCCUUUUGUGAAAACUGUCAAAUCGUUUCCUUUUAAUCAUUCUAUUAGGGGUUAAUCAAUUUUAUUAGUGGUUUCAGUUUUGGCUUUGUUGAUUCUCUCUGUUGUGUGUUUGUUUUUAUACUUAUUAUACAUUGAAAUCAUUUCCUCCUAUCUACUUUAUUAUAUAUUUAAAUCAUUUCCUCCUGUCUACUUUUGUUGGGUUUCUUUAGUUGUUCUUUUCCUGACAUCUUAAAAUGAAUGUGCUUAGCUCAUUAUAUUUUAAGCCUUUCUUCUUCCCUAAAAUAUGCAAUUAAGGCUAUAAAUUUCCCUCCAAGCACUGCGUUAGCUUUACGUCAUAAGUUUUGUUGUAUUUUGUUUUUCAUUACAUAUAGUAUAGUUCAAAGUAAUUUCAAAUUUCCAUUUUUAUUUGUUCUGAAACCCAUGCAUUAUUUAGAAGUAUAUUUUAGAAGCAUGUUACUCGAAAGUAUAGUUUUCAAAGAUACAGGGACUUUUUAAUAUUUUUGUUAUCGAUUCUUAAACUAUUUGCAAUAUGUUAGGAUGACAUUAUCUGCUUUAUUUUAAUCCUUUGAAAUGUGUUGAAACUUGCAUUUUGGCCCAGCAGAUCAUCAUAUUUUAAAAUGGAUGAUAUCUUCUUGAAAAUAACAUAUUUUGCACUUGUUGAGUGCACAGUUCUCCAUAUGUUCAUACAACAAGAUUGUUCAUUAUGAUGUCUCAAAUCUUCUACAGUGUUAUUGAUUUAUUGUCUGCCUGUUCCAUUGACUACUGAAAAAGCUGUGUCAAACAUCCCACUAUGAAUAUGGACUUGUCUAUUUCUCCAUAUAAUUCUGUUCACAUUGCUGUAUGUAUCAUGUAAUUAGGUACAUACAAAUUUAGAAUAAUCUUUUAUUAUUAUAGGGUGACCCUCCUUAAUUCUAGAGAUGCUUUUUUU